This 218-nucleotide ribosomal RNA is filed under the name uncultured bacterium. Its description in RNAcentral is "partial 16S ribosomal RNA". It matches the Rfam family "Bacterial small subunit ribosomal RNA", at positions 1284 to 1500 of the family's 1533-position model. The record is from RNAcentral.
UGUCCCAGUUCAGAUUGCAGGCUGCAACUCGCCUGCAUGAAGUCGGAAUUGCUAGUAAUCGCAGAUCAGCAUGCUGUGGUGAAUACGUUCCCGGGCCUUGUACACACCGCCCGUCACACCAUGAGAGUCGGGAACACCCGAAGUCCGUAGCCUGACCGCGAAGGGGGGCGCGGCCGAAGGUGGGUUCGAUAAUUGGGGUGAAGUCGUAACAAGGUAUC